GUGUCAGCAGCCGCGGUAAUACGAAGGUGGCAAGCGUUGUUCGGAUUCACUGGGCGUACAGGGAGCGUAGGCGGUUGGGUAAGCCCUCCGUGAAAUCUCCGGGCCUAACCCGGAAAGUGCAGAGGGGACUGCUCAGCUAGAGGAUGGGAGAGGAGCGCGGAAUUCCCGGUGUAGCGGUGAAAUGCGUAGAGAUCGGGAGGAAGGCCGGUGGCGAAGGCGGCGCUCUGGAACAUUUCUGACGCUGAGGCUCGAAAGCGUGGGGAGCAAACAGGAUUAGAAACCCCCGUAGUCC
RNAcentral lists this ribosomal RNA (292 nucleotides) under uncultured bacterium. RNAcentral's name for it is "partial 16S ribosomal RNA". It matches the Rfam family "Bacterial small subunit ribosomal RNA", at positions 505 to 796 of the family's 1533-position model. The record is from RNAcentral.